Molecule: non-coding RNA, 96 nt
Organism: Paramarasmius palmivorus
Lineage: Eukaryota; Fungi; Basidiomycota; Agaricomycetes; Agaricales; Marasmiaceae
Source: the annotation of a GenBank genome assembly
GGUUCGAUGGUGUAGUUGGUUAUCACGUCCGUCUCACAUCAAUUUGAAGUGGAUGUUGUGCACGGGAGGUCUCCGGUUCGAACCCGGGUCGAACCA